RNAcentral lists this ribosomal RNA (522 nucleotides) under uncultured bacterium. RNAcentral describes it as "bacterial SSU rRNA". It matches the Rfam family "Bacterial small subunit ribosomal RNA", at positions 355 to 891 of the family's 1533-position model. The record is from RNAcentral.
CAAGGAAUUUUCGGCAAUGGGCGCAAGCCUGACCGAGCAACGCCGCGUGCAGGAUGACGGCCUUCGGGUUGUAAACUGCUUUUUGGGGGGAUGAUACAGACCGUACCCCCAGAAUCAGCCCCGGCUAACUCUGUGCCAGCAGCCGCGGUAAUACAGAGGGGGCAAGCGUUGUCCGGAUUUACUGGGCGUAAAGCGUAUGUAGGCGGUGGCACAGGUGGGGUGUUAAAUCGCUCGGCUUAACCGGGCGCGGCCAUCCCAAACCGUGCCGCUUGAGCUGUGCAGAGGUCGGUGGAAUUGCCGGUGUAGUGGUGAAAUGCGUAGAGAUCGGCAGGAACACCAAGGGGGGACCCAGCCGACUGGGCACAAGCUGACGCUGAGGUACGAGAGCGUGGGGAGCGAACCGGAUUAGAUACCCGGGUAGUCCACGCCGUAAACGAUGUCAACUCGGCUUUUGGUGGCUAUCCACGCCGCUGGGAGCCUAAGCCAACGCGCAAGUUGACCGCCUGGGAACUACGAGCGCAA